GAUCAUAACCCAUUGGUGUGGCUAAACCGGGUCUCAGGGGACAAUGGCAGGUUGUUAUGUUGGAGCCUGUCCUUACAGCCAUUUAAUUUCACCAUUGCUUACAGACCUGGGAAACAAAAUGGCAACGCCGAUGGGUUAUCAAGGCAGACAUACCUCAGCCCUGAGUUACUUCUGUUCUGGACAGCCUUAAGUUGCCCCGAAAAGGGGUCAAACCUUG
Molecule: non-coding RNA, 217 nt
Organism: Pelobates cultripes (western spadefoot toad)
Lineage: Eukaryota; Metazoa; Chordata; Amphibia; Anura; Pelobatidae
Source: the annotation of a GenBank genome assembly